RNAcentral lists this transfer RNA (76 nucleotides) under Acidobacteriota bacterium. Its description in RNAcentral is "tRNA-Lys". It matches the Rfam family "tRNA". From Rfam's summary of the family: Transfer RNA (tRNA) molecules are approximately 80 nucleotides in length. Their secondary structure includes four short double-helical elements and three loops (D, anti-codon, and T loops). RNAcentral also lists the same sequence under 2 other names. Lineage: Bacteria; Pseudomonadati; Acidobacteriota. The record is from RNAcentral.
GGGCCGUUAGCUCAGUUGGUAGAGCAUCUCCCUUUUAAGGAGAGGGUCGCUGGUUCGAGCCCAGCACGGCUCACCA